UUCUCAGAGUGUGAAUAAAAUAAAUUUAUUUACAGACGUCAAGAGAAAGUUAGCAGUUAUUUGCUGGCUGUGAUUUUAGAAGAAUACGAAUGCAUCUAUCGCAGAAUAGUUUUUCAGCAUUAAAUAUAGAAACUCGAACUUUUUAUAUUCAUUGGUUUCGCUCCAAUAUAAUCGGAUUACUAAAAACUGAUAAGUUUGAAACAAAUAUUUCGUAAUGUUUCGUAAUGAACAAAGAAAAUAUAGAAUAUCACCUCUAGUGCAGGGUAUUUCCUGGUCAAGCACUUCCGACUAAAACACGCUUACUCUAUGAAUUACAGUAAUAAUUUUCGGAAAUUGGAACAGCUGAAUAAAUAUAGAAAAAGUGCAUAAACAUAGGAAACUUUCCGAUCUCAAUCAGUUGCAGUUACAAGCUUCAGAGUGCAACAUGUCUAAGGUACUUGUGAUAGCUCUAUUGGUAUUAGUGCAAGCUAUCUGUUUGCUAGCAGAUACAUCAAAUCUAAGGAAACUCAUCAGAGAUAUCAGAAUGAAACUAUUUGAUCUGAUUGAGGAUUUACGUAACAGUUAAUUGGAUUACUGGAAUAUUAU
Molecule: long non-coding RNA, 585 nt
Organism: Drosophila mojavensis
Lineage: Eukaryota; Metazoa; Arthropoda; Insecta; Diptera; Drosophilidae
Exons: 4
Source: RefSeq, a predicted model, not a curated record